AUCUGAUGGUUGGGGCAAGUGGAGCACAACCUCUUGAAACGUUCCCAAUAUUCAAACAAAUUUUCCCCAGGCAGCUGCCAUAUCCCACUUAUUUCCUUCCUCACAGCU
Molecule: non-coding RNA, 108 nt
Organism: Vigna radiata var. radiata (mung bean)
Lineage: Eukaryota; Viridiplantae; Streptophyta; Magnoliopsida; Fabales; Fabaceae
Source: Rfam